This 429-nucleotide ribosomal RNA is filed under the name uncultured bacterium. RNAcentral describes it as "bacterial SSU rRNA". It matches the Rfam family "Bacterial small subunit ribosomal RNA", at positions 355 to 775 of the family's 1533-position model. The record is from RNAcentral.
UGGGGAAUUGUUCGCAAUGGGCGCAAGCCUGACGACGCAACGCCGCGUGGAGGACGAAGACUUUCGGGUCGUAAACUCCUGUCGAGUGGGAAGAAUAGCCUGUGGGUGAAUAGCCUGCAGGAUUGACGGUACCGCUAAAGGAAGCCCCGGCUAACUCCGUGCCAGCAGCCGCGGUAAUACGGGGGGGGCAAGCGUUGUUCGGAAUUACUGGGCGUAAAGGGCUCGUAGGCGGCCAACUAAGUCGGACGUGAAAUCCCUCGGCUUAACCGGGGAACUGCGUCCGAUACUGGAUGGCUUGAAGUCGGGAGAGGGAUGCGGAAUUCCAGGUGUAGCGGUGAAAUGCGUAGAUAUCUGGAGGAACACCGGUGGCGAAGGCGGCAUCCUGGACCGAUAUUGACGCUGAUGAGCGAAAGCCAGGGGAGCAAACGG